Long non-coding RNA from Drosophila mojavensis, 803 nucleotides. RefSeq lists it as uncharacterized. The transcript has 2 exons. Lineage: Eukaryota; Metazoa; Arthropoda; Insecta; Diptera; Drosophilidae. The record is from RefSeq and is a predicted model, not a curated record.
GAGAAAUACGCUGUAGGAAUUGCAGCUGAAGAAAGCGAUAUUUAUCGAUUUUAGCUAGUUAAAGUAGUCUAUAUUUGUAGAAAUUCAGACUCAAAGAACUGAACUCGCAUUUCAAUAUAGCUGAAAUAUUUCUCUAGGCCAAUAGGAGAUUAGAGAGAGUAGCAGUAUAUCAAUAGAUAUACAUCGACUGCUUCUUAACCAUAUGAGGCAGUCGAUAGUGGGCGUGAGUGCGAUGAUCGUGAAUAGCUUAAGCAGAAGAAGAACUUUUAAAGGAGCUGCUGAAAAAAUAUAAUUAAAUUACCAGAUAAAACCUCUUACAUGUCAUACCCUACACAGUUUAUGUACAGGGUACCUGGCUGCAUUUUGCGUGGAGCUUCAUUUGCAAUUUCAAUUAGUCGAUCUUUUGAUUUCUAACCUUGGCUUCGUUGGCUCUGCUAGUGGUAUAAAAGGAGCUGCCUGAGCGGAACCAGUGAACAGUUCACAAGUGAAUCUGGGUUCGGCUCAAGAUGUUGCUGCUGCCGCUGCUGCUAUUGUUGUUUAUCUGCGGGCUCUUUGACAGCGCCGCCUGGGCAGCUCUGCUGCCACCCGGCAAUGCUUACUUGCCACCAGCUGUGCCGCAGCUUGUGGCUGCAGCAGCUCCAGCUGCGGUCGUGCCCCACGUGGAGCAACAGCAGGAAUACGCGCUGGACUUGCCACUGGAGUUCUACUGAGACGUCAGCUGCAAAGGGAAUUGAUUCUUGAUGACAUUGAAAUUUGUGAAUGAAUUUUGUAUGCAUAAAUAAAAAAUGUUUAGUAUAAAGAGA